UAAUGGCAUUUAGCUCUACUUAGGAAUAGCCAGCUGGAUUUAUCUGGAUCCCAGUGUUGAUAUUCAUUUUGGGACAUGAAAGAUUGAUGAUGCUUCGGUCCGUGAUAUCGAAUAUGGGAUAAUUCGAAUCAUUUCAGUGAGAUCCUAAAUAAAGUAUGUAUUUU
This 164-nucleotide microRNA precursor is filed under the name Schistosoma mansoni. Its description in RNAcentral is "microRNA sma-mir-8479 precursor". The record is from miRBase by way of RNAcentral. Lineage: Eukaryota; Metazoa; Platyhelminthes; Trematoda; Strigeidida; Schistosomatidae.